UAAUGGGUCAGCGACUUAUAUUCUGUAGCAAGGUUAACCGAAUAGGGGAGCCGAAGGGAAACCGAGUCUUAACUGGGCGUUAAGUUGCAGGGUAUAGACCCGAAACCCGGUGAUCUAGCCAUGGGCAGGUUGAAGGUUGGGUAACACUAACUGGAGGACCGAACCGACUAAUGUUGAAAAAUUAGCGGAUGACUUGUGGCUGGGGGUGAAAGGCCAAUCAAACCGGGAGAUAGCUGGUUCUCCCCGAAAGCUAUUUAGGUAGCGCCUCGUGAAUUCAUCUCCGGGGGUAGAGCACUGUUUCGGCAAGGGGGUCAUCCCGACUUACCAACCCGAUGCAAACUGCGAAUACCGGAGAAUGUUAUCACGGGAGACACACGGCGGGUGCUAACGUCCGUCGUGAAGAGGGAAACAACCCAGACCGCCAGCUAAGGUCCCAAAGUCAUGGUUAAGUGGGAAACGAUGUGGGAAGGCCCAGACAGCCAGGAUGUUGGCUUAGAAGCAGCCAUCAUUUAAAGAAAGCGUAAUAGCUCACUGGUCGAGUCGGCCUGCGCGGAAGAUGUAACGGGGCUAAACCAUGCACCGAAGCUGCGGCAGCGACACUAUGUGUUGUUGGGUAGGGGAGCGUUCUGUAAGCCUGUGAAGGUGGCCUGUGAGGGUUGCUGGAGGUAUCAGAAGUGCGAAUGCUGACAUAAGUAACGAUAAAGCGGGUGAAAAGCCCGCUCGCCGGAAGACCAAGGGUUCCUGUCCAACGUUAAUCGGGGCAGGGUGAGUCGACCCCUAAGGCGAGGCCGAAAGGCGUAGUCGAUGGGAAACAGGUUAAUAUUCCUGUACUUGGUGUUACUGCGAAGGGGGGACGGAGAAGGCUAUGUUGGCCGGGCGACGGUUGUCCCGGUUUAAGCGUGUAGGCUGGUUUUCCAGGCAAAUCCGGAAAACC
RNAcentral lists this ribosomal RNA (934 nucleotides) under Escherichia coli. RNAcentral describes it as "partial 23S ribosomal RNA". It matches the Rfam family "Bacterial large subunit ribosomal RNA", at positions 613 to 1551 of the family's 2925-position model. The record is from RNAcentral. Lineage: Bacteria; Pseudomonadati; Pseudomonadota; Gammaproteobacteria; Enterobacterales; Enterobacteriaceae.